Camellia sinensis is the source of this 577-nucleotide long non-coding RNA. RefSeq lists it as uncharacterized. Lineage: Eukaryota; Viridiplantae; Streptophyta; Magnoliopsida; Ericales; Theaceae. The record is from RefSeq and is a predicted model, not a curated record.
CUGAUCAUCAAAUCCGACGGAUUGAAGAAGAACCAUUGUUCGUUUCUAGUUUGCAACACCUGGGUAAUUCAUUUCGACCCUAGUCAAUUGCGACCUGAGUUCGCAAUCGUCUGGAUAGUCAUGACCUGGCCAGAUUUGAGUCUGGUCGAUGGAAUUCGCAGGUUUGGAUCGACUACGUCUGGAUAUUGCGAGGGUGAUUUGGGUCUAAUUCUUGUUCGAGUUUGGAUCUGUUUUUUUGGCACCUGAUUGAGUAAUUUUCUUUUUGAGUUAGAAGAAGCCCCAAACUUUGGCCUCUCUGGCAAUAUGUCACAAAAUCCACUAGCUACGUGGUCUGUAGUUUCAAUGAUAUCUCAGUAACCAUAAAGAUGCAUACCAUCUCAGUAACUACAAAUGUGCAGCUUCAACUUUAUCACCUUCUCACCGAAUGUAAUUAAGCAAUUUUAAUUAGUUUCAAAUCCAUUCUCUCUUAUAAAGGUCUUUCAAUGAUUGUCUACAUUCUGCCACUUUUCUCCCAAAACAACAUAAAAGACAACACAAUAAUUUAGCAUCACAUUCAGUAUUACAUUGGUUAGAUCCA